Cryptomeria japonica (Japanese cedar) is the source of this 2251-nucleotide long non-coding RNA. RefSeq lists it as uncharacterized. Lineage: Eukaryota; Viridiplantae; Streptophyta; Pinopsida; Cupressales; Cupressaceae. The record is from RefSeq and is a predicted model, not a curated record. The transcript is spliced from 2 exons.
GUUGCUUAGUGUAGUCCAUCUCUACUCAGCGCCCAGGGUCUAGAUAACGGUCUGUUUUUUGCCCUUUUUAUAGAAUAGUGCCGUUCAUGAAACGGCCAAUUUGAUUUUUGUUGCGUUUUACAGAAAAAUGCCGUUGAUAAAGGGCCUGUGUUUUUUUCUUUUUAUAGAAUAGUGCCGUUGAUGAAACCGCCUGUGUUUUUUUUCUUCUUAUAGAAUAAUGUCGUUGAUGAAAGGACCGUUGAUGAAGGGACCAUUGAUUUCUCUAUCUAUAUAUAGAGGCAGCCUCAGAUCAUUUAUGCACAGUUCAAUAUCAGUUUGCCUUAGUCGAAACUGUGGGGUGCAGCUUGAAAUGAUUUUCUCUGUUUUGUAGGUCAGAUGUGGCGCUUCUGAAGUUUUGGGUCGGCAUGAGAUAGCUCUGGCCUUCCUGUCCGCUUCCCUAGAUUUUCUCGAAGGCCAUAUUGUGGUUUCAAUGGCGGCGAUUCUAGGGCACUCCAAUUGGGGUUUCCAUGGGCAACAUCAGAAUCGCCCUGGCAGCCAUUGGGAAGCUCAUGUUUGCCCAAUUCUAGGAGCUGGUGUGCCACUACUAUAAUGGUCUGCCUUGGAAUCGUUCUGUUGCGCUCAAUCCUUCACUCUAUUCUAUUCUGUGUAAUAUAGGUGACCCUGUAAUGCUUUGGGUGAACAAGGUUGGUCCUUACAACAAUUCACAAGAAACAUAUAAUUAUUCUGUUUCCCACUUGGGUUUUCCUGUUCUUGGAUCUGAAUACUGGUGUUUUGAGUCUUGAGUCUCAUUUGCUUUGAAUUGUUAUUGAAGGAUAGGAUCGUAAUCGUUUCUUCAAUUGUUAUAAUGGUAAGGAUUCUAUUAGUCUUCUGCAGAUUUGUCUGUUCUAUUUUCUCUCUAUUUGAAGUUUUAUUGUAGUCAGAUGGAUUUAAUUUAUGAUCAUGAUGAAUGGCCAAUUUAGUAAGUUAUUUGUUGUCAAUGGCUUUUGUCAAUAGUCUAGUGAUUUUGAUACACUCUUCAGGCGGAUUCCUUUCUUCUUGUUUCUGAAGAUAAUGCUAGCUAUUCUAGUGUCGAUGAUAAAGGUGUCUGUUACAAUGUUUGUGUUUCUCCUAGUGAAGAUGUUGACCCUGGUGGAUGUUUGUUGCAGAUGGUACUAAUCAGUGUGGUGCGCAUAUUUAUCUUGGGCUUUUUUUCUGAUGGUGACCUGGAUCUGGAUCUAGAUAUCUCCACUCUGCUGGUCGUUCCUUAUAAGAGUUAAGUCAUUGGAAAAAUAUGUUAAGUCCUACAAUUGACAAGUUAGAUAAGAAAUUUGGUGAUAGUUGAUCUUAGGUGUUUUUAUAUGGUAUGAAUUGUUGUUAUAUGUGCUGGUCUGCUCUCUCAGGUUUUCCCCUGUUUUAAUCAUUUUUGCUUAGCUCGUUUUAUGGUGCUAGGUCAUGCUACAUAGGUUCUAGAGGGUUGAUAUGGAUGGGUUAAUGUUUGUCGAUUUUCUUGAGUUUUGUCUCAGCUGUGUAUUGAUGUUCCUUAAAAUGUCUCAAUUCACCUUUGCAGUUUUGUUAAGGUUACAGUGCAUUGUCAUUUGGAGAAGCAUAUUUUAGUGAUUUUUAAAUUUUUGUACAAGAUGAAGCAAGGAAUUUGUUGUUAUCUCCCAUUCCGUUACACAUUACCCUGCCCCAGUCUGCAUUUAAUAAGGCUGGCUCGAUUUGCUUGUUUAUUUUGGUUGUCCUUGAUUGUGGAGGCCGAAAAAGGCAUGGAUUUUCCUACCAGGAGUAGUAAAGUUAGCCUUGGGUUUUGUAGGAUCCUGCCCAUUUUAUAGCGUUUGAUUUUCUUUAGGACAAUAAAUUAAUUAUUCUAUCACUUUCUACUUAUUUUUAUUUAUUUAUUUCCUGCGCUCUAAUCUGUUAUAAUUAGCCUCUUUGGGGGUGAAAAUCUUAUAGAAUAUUUUUAUUAUGUAUUUUACUAAUAUAUAUGUUCAUUCUAUACCUUAGACAGUGAUGCUUUCUGAUUUGUUAUCCUUUUUCAUUUAAUUUCAGAUAAUCUGUUAGGGCAAUAAUGAAUUACUAUGAAAUUGUUCAUGUUGGUGGCUGUUAGAUUUUAUGAGUUGUUUUCCAACUGCAUUUUGGAAAUAAAAUUGCUUUGUAUAUUGUAUUGAGCAGUGUAAUAUAGGUGACCCUUCAACACUUUGGGUGAACAAGGUUGGUUUUUACAACAAUCUACAAGAAAACAUAUAAUUAUUACUCUGUUGUGGGAUCUGAA